AUUCCUGGUGUAGCGGUGGAAUGCGCAGAUAUCAGGAGGAACACCGAUGGCGAAGGCAGGUCUCUGGGCUGUAACUGACGCUGAGGAGCGAAAGCAUGGGGAGCGAACAGGAUUAGAUACCCUGGUAGUCCAUGCCGUAAACGUUGGGCACUAGGUGUGGGGACCAUUCCACGGUUUCCGCGCCGCAGCUAACGCAUUAAGUGCCCCGCCUGGGGAGUACGGCCGCAAGGCUAAAACUCAAAGGAAUUGACGGGGGCCCGCACAAGCGGCGGAGCAUGCGGAUUAAUUCGAUGCAACGCGAAGAACCUUACCAAGGCUUGACAUGUUUUCGAUCGCCGUGGAGACACGGUUUCCCCUUUGGGGCGGAUUCACAGGUGGUGCAUGGUUGUCGUCAGCUCGUGUCGUGAGAUGUUGGGUUAAGUCCCGCAACGAGCGCAACCCUCGUUCCAUGUUGCCAGCACGUUGUGGUGGGGACUCAUGGGAGACUGCCGGGGUCAACUCGGAGGAAGGUGAGGACGACGUCAAAUCAUCAUGCCCCUUAUGUCUUGGGCUUCACGCAUGCUACAAUGGCCGGUACAAUGGGUUGCGAUACUGUGAGGUGGAGCUAAUCCCAAAAAGCCGGUCUCAGUUCGGAUUGGGGUCUGCAACUCGACCCCAUGAAGUCGGAGUCGCUAGUAAUCGCAGAUCAGCAACGCUGCGGUGAAUACGUUCCCGGGCCUUGUACACACCGCCCGUCAAGUCACGAAAGUCGGUAACACCCGAAGCCGGUGGCCUAACCCUUGUGGGGGGAGCCGUCGAAGGUGGGACCAGCGAUUGGGACUAAGUCGUAACAAGGUAGCCGUACCGGAAGGUGCGGUUGGAU
Molecule: ribosomal RNA, 862 nt
Filed under: Micrococcus flavus
Lineage: Bacteria; Bacillati; Actinomycetota; Actinomycetes; Micrococcales; Micrococcaceae
Description: bacterial SSU rRNA
Rfam family: Bacterial small subunit ribosomal RNA
Source: RNAcentral